This 253-nucleotide ribosomal RNA is filed under the name uncultured bacterium. RNAcentral's name for it is "partial 16S ribosomal RNA". It matches the Rfam family "Bacterial small subunit ribosomal RNA", at positions 524 to 776 of the family's 1533-position model. The record is from RNAcentral.
GACAGAGGGUGCAAACGUUGUUCGGAAUUACUGGGCGUAAAGCGCGUGUAGGCGGCCCUGUAAGUCGGGUGUGAAAUCCCACGGCUCAACCGUGGAAGUGCACCCGAAACUGCGUAGCUAGAGUCCUGGAGAGGAAGGUGGAAUGCUUGGUGUAGAGGUGAAAUUCGUAGAUAUCAAGCGGAACACCGGUGGCGAAGGCGGCCUUCUGGACAGUGACUGACGCUGAGACGCGAAAGCGUGGGGAGCAAACAGG